RNAcentral lists this ribosomal RNA (457 nucleotides) under uncultured bacterium. Its description in RNAcentral is "partial 16S ribosomal RNA". It matches the Rfam family "Bacterial small subunit ribosomal RNA", at positions 341 to 795 of the family's 1533-position model. The record is from RNAcentral.
CCUGGUGGCUGCAGUGAGGAAUAUUGGUCAAUGGGCGGGAGCCUGAACCAGCCAAGUCGCGUGAGGGACGACGGUCCUAUGGAUUGUAAACCUCUUUUGUCGGGGAACAAAGGCGCCCACGGGUGGGCGGAUGAGUGUACCCGAAGAAAAAGCAUCUGCUAACUCCGUGCCAGCAGCCGCGGUAAUACGGAGGAUGCGAGCGUUAUCCGGAUUUAUUGGGUUUAAAGGGAGCGUAGGCCGGCUUUUAAGUCAGCUGUGAAAGUCCGCGGCUCAACCGUGGAAUUGCAGUUGACACUGGAGGCCUUGAGAUCACACAGGGAUGCCGGAAUUCAUGGUGUAGCGGUGAAAUGCUUAGAUAUCAUGAAGAACUCCGAUCGCGAAGGCAAGUGUCCGGGGUGCAACUGACGCUGAGGCUCGAAAGUGCGGGUAUCAAACAGGAUUAGAUACCCGGGUAGUC